GGCAACCUCCUUUGAGUCCCCUCCCUUUGUAUAGGAGCUCUGUUUUCACUGUGUUUCACUCUAUUAAAUCUUGCAAUUGCACUCUUCUGGUCCAUAUUUGUCACGGCUUGAGCUGAGCUUUCACUUGCCGUCCACCACUACUGUUUGCUGCUGUCACAGACCCGCCGCUGACUCCCAUCCCGCUGCUGACUCCCAUCCCUCCGGAUCCGGCAGGGUGUCCGCUGUGCUCCUGAUCCAGCAAGACUCCCAUUGCCACUCCCGAUAGUGCUAAAGGCUUGCCAUUGUUCCUGCAUGGCUAAGUGCCUGGGUUCGUCCUAAUCCAGCUGAACACUAGUCACUGGGUUCCACGGUUCUCUUCCAUGACCCGCGGCUUCUAAUAGAGCUAUAACACUCACCACAUGGCCCAAUAUUCCAUUCCUUGGAAUCCGUGAGGCCAAGAACCCCAGGUCAGAGAACACGAGGCUUGCCACCAUCUUGGAAGCAGCCUGCCACCAUCUUGGAAGUGGCUCACCACCGUCUUGGGAGUUCUGUGAACAAGGACCCCUGGUAACAUUUUGGCGACCACGAAGGGACAUCCAAAGCUAUAUGAAGAAUAGAGCCAAUAUUACAACAAAUAACCUUCAUGCCUGCAAAAACUUUUUCAGCUUAACUAAUGCUUGUGAUGUUUAACGCCUGUCUUUUCAACUUGGUCUACUGAGUCUUCAAUACUGGUGACUGAGCUGCUUGAAGUGAACUCUGGACAAGGUGGAGAGCAUCUUCUUGAUUUAAGAAAUAAUGCUGCAAAGCCGGGCAUAGUGACAUGCACCUGGAGUCCCAGCUACUUGGGAGGCUGAGGCAGGAGGAUUGCUUGAGCCCAGGAGUUCAAAGUUGCAGUGCACUAUCAUGGCACCUGCGAAGAGCCACUGCACUCGCACUCUAGCCAGGGGAGCAUAGUGACACUUCAUCUAUUACAAAAAAUUAUAUAAAAAUUAUAAAAAGAG
Homo sapiens (human) is the source of this 980-nucleotide long non-coding RNA. Ensembl annotates it as long intergenic non-protein coding RNA 383. Lineage: Eukaryota; Metazoa; Chordata; Mammalia; Primates; Hominidae. The record is from Ensembl.